RNAcentral lists this ribosomal RNA (403 nucleotides) under uncultured bacterium. Its description in RNAcentral is "partial 16S ribosomal RNA". It matches the Rfam family "Bacterial small subunit ribosomal RNA", at positions 28 to 526 of the family's 1533-position model. The record is from RNAcentral.
GACGAACGCUGGCGGCGUGCCUAAUACAUGCAAGUCGAACGCAGUGGGGACGGGUGAGUAACACGUGGGUAACCUCCCAUCAGAGGGGAUAACACUUGGAAACAGGUGCUAAACCGAUACUGAUGGAUGGACCCGCGGUGCAGUAGCUAGUUGGUGAGGUAACGGCUCACCAAGGCUACGAUGCAUAGCCGACCUGAGAGAGUGAUCGGCCACACUGGGACUGAGACACGGCCCAGACUCCUACGGGAGGCAGAAGUAGGGAAUAUGCGGCAAAAGACGAAAGUCUGACCGAGCAAAGCCGCGUGUGUGAAGAAGGUUUUCGGAUCGUAAAACUCUGUUGGUAGAGAGGCGAUAUCUAACCAGAAAGCCACGGCUAACUACGUGCCAGCAGCGGCGGUAAUAC